Molecule: ribosomal RNA, 301 nt
Filed under: uncultured bacterium
Lineage: Bacteria
Description: partial 16S ribosomal RNA
Rfam family: Bacterial small subunit ribosomal RNA
Source: RNAcentral
CAGCAGCCACGGUAAUACAGAGGGUGCGAGCGUUAAUCGGAUUUACUGGGCGUAAAGCGUGCGUAGGCGGCUUUUUAAGUCGGAUGUGAAAUCCCUGAGCUUAACUUAGGAAUUGCAUUCGAUACUGGGAAGCUAGAGUAUGGGAGAGGAUGGUAGAAUUCCAGGUGUAGCGGUGAAAUGCGUAGAGAUCUGGAGGAAUACCGAUGGCGAAGGCAGCCAUCUGGCCUAAUACUGACGCUGAGGUACGAAAGCAUGGGGAGCAAACAGGAUUAGAGACCCCGGUAGUCCCUGUCUCUUAUAC